UUAACUGGCAAUAAUAAUUACGCUCUUGCUGCGUGAUCGAAUAACAGUAGAUCAAUCGCUUAAUCCUGUCACAGGUGAUAGGACAAGACAUCACCCGGAAGCUGUGGCUUCGAAGCGUUUCGAUACGGUGGUGCAGGUAAAUCGGAGAUAGGAUAGGCGGCGCUUCGACGCUUGUCCGAAAUUUAAGAAGCUAAGGUUUGAGUGGGUGGCUUCAGUCUUGCUCAUUCCCGACAAUUAAAAUGGAGAUAAGCAUGUAGAAAGCAAAUUAUUUCCUCGUUUGGACGAGGGUUCAAGUCCCUCCAGCUCCACUG
This 311-nucleotide transfer-messenger RNA is filed under the name Porphyromonadaceae bacterium. RNAcentral's name for it is "partial transfer-messenger RNA". It matches the Rfam family "transfer-messenger RNA", at positions 87 to 374 of the family's 374-position model. Rfam says of the family: Bacterial tmRNA, also known as 10Sa RNA or SsrA, is named for its dual tRNA and mRNA-like properties. Its role is to liberate the mRNA from a stalled ribosome. Lineage: Bacteria; Pseudomonadati; Bacteroidota; Bacteroidia; Bacteroidales; Porphyromonadaceae. The record is from RNAcentral.